This 67-nucleotide transfer RNA is filed under the name Perittopus sp. HL-2012. RNAcentral's name for it is "tRNA-Val". The record is from RNAcentral. Lineage: Eukaryota; Metazoa; Arthropoda; Insecta; Hemiptera; Veliidae.
CAAAUUAUUCCUAAGUGGAUUUAUUAUUUACAUUAAUGAUUUUGUUGUGCGAUUCAAUAUAAUUUGA